Molecule: long non-coding RNA, 2727 nt
Organism: Neopelma chrysocephalum (saffron-crested tyrant-manakin)
Lineage: Eukaryota; Metazoa; Chordata; Aves; Passeriformes; Pipridae
Exons: 3
Source: RefSeq, a predicted model, not a curated record
CACUUGCUGCUCCAGCUCGUCUAUCCUCCGCUUCUGCUUCUCCAGCAGCUCCUGCUGCGUCUCGAUAAUCUUGUUCAGCUCCUUCAGGGAUGUGUUCAGGCUGGAGCAGCCAGUGCUGUGUGGCAGCGUUUCAUCUGUUAUGAAAUCCUUCCGGGAGGAGAGAACGGAAUAAUCAGGUGGAUUUGCUUUCUCUCCUUGUCUCUGGAUGUUAGUUCUUGAGGCAGAGCUGCUGACUAAGGAGCAGUGUGUGGUGCUGGGUUCCAGUUCUCCAAAGGAGCUGUGUGAGGUGCAAGUUCCAGCCUCUGAAGGAACACCAGAAAGGAUUUAUCUGCAGGCAAGGAUGGAACUGGAAGAUCAAAGGAGGUGAGAGAGGGCUGGGUGAAAGAAGGAAACCCAGCUCCUUUUGUUCACCAGUGAAAACAGUGCAAUGGGAAUUCCUGGAGCAACCAGGGGAAGGUGUCCCUGCCCACAGCAGAUGAGCUUUAAGGCCCCUUCCAACCUAAACCAUUCUGGGAUUCUGAUUAUUAAAGGCUUACAGAAGAGGAACACACAGCACCUGACCUGACUGUAAAUAACAUACAUUCAUAUGGGCCAAACUAAUUUCAUUUACAGCCACAGCUGGUAGCAAAAAAUCUCCAUAACUGGGGGCUGUUCCAAUCAGCACUGAAGGUUUGAGUGAGCAAAUCAAUUAAUUAUACAUUGAUUUUCCCAGGCACGUUUGCUCCAACAAUCACAACUGUGAAUUUGGCCCCUGAGUCCUGAAGCAGCUGUUGAAUAUUUACAUCCUGCUCCUGAAUACAAACUCCCUGGUUCCUUUUUGGCCCGAGGCAGGGACAGGGAAGGGAACAGCCGUUUGCCAAAGGCCACACAAUCACGUUGUACCUGCAGAGAACAUUGGGUUCCAGCCUGGCCCAAGGGAGAGGAGAUGCUUUGUCUGCUUGCAAUUAGACAAGGAUCAUAAUAGAUGCAUGUAUUCAUUUAGUAGAACAAAAUAAAGAGAAGGGAAAGAUGUGUCUCUUCAUAAAUUAAUACCAGGUUUUGCUGAGUAAAGCAGAAAAUAAUGGAGAUAAGUUUUCCUUCUUCUUCCUGAUUUUUAAAGGAAAAACUUCCCCAUGAACUCAUACCCAGAGAGAAUUCUGUGUUCUGUGAAUAUAGUUCUGUAAGAACAGUCCCCCUUUGCACUGAAUAUGUCAAGUCUCAUUGAUUUUAACAGUUACUGAGGAAAUACAGCUCCUUGCCAGGCACAGAAUGAUUCCUGUACCAAUCUGGAGAAAGCUUGGGAUUGGCAUGUGAGUGCAGAGCUGCCUCAAUGAGCACCUGAGAAGUUGCUGGAGCUAAGGGAAGUGAAUAAAAAUAUAAAUUAAUGGGAAGUGGUGAUUGAAUAGGGAUAAAAUAGAGAAUGGAAAACUGAUGUGAUGUUUUAAAAUCAGAUUUCCUAGUUAGGGUUCAAAUAUCUGUUACACGGAGCUUUAAUAAAGUUUAUGCCCUCGCAGUGCUGUAUAAAUCUGGAGCAGAAGACAGAUUUAAUCCCAUUAAAUAUGUGUCAGGGAUUUAAUGCAGUAGAUAAUAAAACACGCACUAUUAGACCUGGCCUUACAAUGAUUCAUUUGUAUCAAAUCCAGUGCCUGUGGCUGCAAAAGGAGUUUUGCCUGAGGCUCAGGGACUGGACUUCACAUUUCUGUUAUUGAUCCCAGGCAGGUGCUGGAGCUGCUGUUUGUUCUCAGCUCUUUUAUCCAUGCACUGUACAGCCAGUUUUGUUCCCUUUCUCCAGAGAUGGCCACUGAAAAUGUAACAGGAAUAUUUCUACAACCUUCCUUUUAACAGAAAUGAGGCAAUUUGACCUACUGAUUCUGUAUGUUUUUUCCUAUUCAAGGGCAGAAUAUCCUCAGAGUUAAAAAGCUGCUGCCAGACCCAACUUGCUCUGCUAAGAUAGAGACAUCCCCUGGUUCUGCAGCCCCUGUCAGUCCAAAUGCCCACACUGGGAGUUGAGGGAAUGCCAGCCUUCCAGGUUGCUUGUGCACUUUAUUUUCUUGUGUCACCCCAACUUUUAUCCUUGGCUGAACACAAGUAACCGAAAUAAAAAAAGUUUUGAGCUCUGCAAACGUGGAAAACUUUUGUUACACCCAAACCCGUGGGAAGAUACUGCUGAAUUUCUGCUCAUUAGAAAGCCAUUUAUAUACAUUCAUUUCUGCUCUUUGGUUGGUUGGUUGAUGUUUGAGGACUUUUUUGUGCAGUCUGUAGCAACCACCACCACAGAGCAGAUGGAAACUGGCUUUUAAGAAUACCCUAGUGCUCUGUCCUCAAAAGUUUAAAGCUUCUGGGUCAUCAUAAUCAUCCCUGUGGCAGCUGAAAUGCUGAAAAUUCAGAUACUUGGUUGUUUGGGUGUUUUUAAAUAUAGUAGUGUUCUCUUAACUGAUUGAAACCAAAUUAAUUAAUUCUUCAGCUUUUAUUAUUCUCUUGUUUAAAACUUUUAUGCUGUCAAACACUUGGUGAUUGCUGAUCCUCAAGAGCACCAAUGAAUGUACAUUCCAUGGCUGCAGUUUGGGGCUUCACUGCCAUUUAUUUGAUGACCACAUGUAAAAUGAGUAUUUCCAACACAGGGCAACUCAUAAAACUUUUUUGAUUUUACUUGUGCAUAGUAAAAGUUGGGUUGGAGAACUUUUAAUGCUGUGUUUUGCAGUCACUCAUCAGGUGAUGUUUUCUGUAUAACAAUGGGAGGAAGUGAAA